RNAcentral lists this non-coding RNA (22 nucleotides) under Arabidopsis thaliana (thale cress). The record is from RNAcentral. Lineage: Eukaryota; Viridiplantae; Streptophyta; Magnoliopsida; Brassicales; Brassicaceae.
CUCGGCAAACUGUCUCACGCGU